RNAcentral lists this long non-coding RNA (782 nucleotides) under Gallus gallus (chicken). The record is from RNAcentral. Lineage: Eukaryota; Metazoa; Chordata; Aves; Galliformes; Phasianidae.
GGGAUUGCAAAUGUUCCUGUGCCAGUAACAUGCUAUUUUUCAGCUCCAAAAGAACUGUCUGUAAUGCAGAAAUGAAGUGAUUUACCCAGCAGAAAAUAAGCGUUGCUGCUGUAUUGUUUUUGGCAGGAGUUGGUGGUUCAUCAUUUGGACACAUCAGCCCAUGCAUUGUCUCCCCAGAAGUAUACCUGCAACCACCUAAGAGCCCAAGCCUGUAAGAUCUGAAACCUUUUGCACAGUAUGUGGUUGGCUGAGGGACCAGAGAAGCCAGCUGUGCAGCUCAGUUCCUCUCUCUUCACAAGCAGAGUUUCCUAGUUGAGGUGCUUUCCUCCUCCUCUAUCUUCAGCUGCUCCAAAGGAUGCCUGGAACAAAACGGCCUUCAAAUGCUUCUCUCUGCUAACACUAGCAAGGGUGUUCUGCCAAUUCCUACCUCAGCUCCCCUUGAUCUGGGUCCUGGAAACUCAGCGAGUGCUGUGUCCUGAAGCUAGGAGCCACGGAGACAGGCAUUCUGACUGCACACUGCCUCUGUGCCUAGAUGAGCUGUCAUUGGGCACGAGAAGGAGAAAAGAGACUGCAAAAAACAAGAGGGAUAAAACGACAUCAUCCGGAGGGAAAAGACCAGAUAAUUACCCACAUUUCCCAGCAUGAGGGUGGAAUAACCAGGUGGACCAAACUGUCAAAACAAUUAUCUACUGAACUGCAAUGACGAUGAUGAGAGAGAACUCCUUUGCUAACAACUGCCAAGAUGCAGAGCAUGCUCAGACUACACUCAAAGCCCUAUGUCA